This 74-nucleotide transfer RNA is filed under the name Patescibacteria group bacterium. Its description in RNAcentral is "tRNA-Met". It matches the Rfam family "tRNA". Rfam says of the family: Transfer RNA (tRNA) molecules are approximately 80 nucleotides in length. The record is from RNAcentral.
GUCGGGGUAGCUCAAUUGGCUAGAGCGUAGCACUCAUAAGGCUAAGGUUGUGAGUUCAAUCCUCACCCCCGACA